CCUACUUUGCAGCCGCACCCGACAUUGUGAGGGAUAUCUUUUGUAGCAGCCAUUUCUUGGUUGGAUAGGGUUUGAAGUUUAUGUUCGACGACGUCACUUUUCGCUAGAUCUUUCGAUAGUCCAGCCACUGAACCUUGUAAAAAUGAGGGGCCUGUUUGAGAUACACCGGCCGGAGUCGAAAUUCUGGCUCGAUAAGCCGGGAUAAAGAGUUGUAUUCACUCGGAUUGAACUCCGAGAUGCAACGGAAGCCUUCAGUUGGGACUUGUGUUUAAAGAUGGUAGGUAGCGAAGCUGAAAUAGAAGAAGCCCUAAACAGCAGCUGAUAACGGGAGGCGCAUCCCAAGAGAUUACGUUUAAAUGGUUUACGUGGGUUAUUGUGAGAUGUCAAUUACCAAAAUGAAAGCAAUAACCCGGAUGUUGCCGGGACACCGCAAAAGCUGAGAUGUUUAUGAAGACUUCUGAUGAUUCUGCGAUUUAAAGAGCUGACAGAGAAAGAAGAAGAAAGAAGAUGCGGUCCACUUUUUUAUUCUACUUCAUGCUCGAUAAAUGAAGUUGUAAUCUAUUAUUUCUGUCUAAUGUUGUCAUGGUCGGUCAGUGAAAAAAAAAUGAAUAGAACCCAUCGAAACGAGAAUUCAGUUUGGCGAAUUAAAUAUAACUUUUAUUUUCACGAAAAAGAUGCCAUAAAUCUGUAAUUUUUUUUUGGAGGAAAAAAUGCUGUAAUUUGUAAACGAAGUACUUUUAUCAUAUCGCUAGCUAUACAUAUGUAGCCUCUUAAUUGACAUCUAAAUUCCCUUCUAACUAUCUUGUAAGUUCUACAAAGUCCGUUUCUUAAUUCUUGUUCAUCUAUGGAAAGGUAGGACUCGUCAAGGUAGCUGCUUUAUUCCCGGGCUAUCAAGCUUUCAGGUUAAUUUACAUUAAGGAAUGACAUCAAUAGAUGCUUAUCAAGGAUAUAGCGUUGGUAGUGAUGUUAAGUAGGUCGCAUUUGUAGAAACUAACCCUUUUUCUCUGAUCGAAUAGAAAAACUAUUAGGUUAGGCAUAAUUGUAUAUCGCAUUUUUAGAACGAGGAAACGAAACAGCAUUGAAGGAUCGCCGUUAUUCAAGUGUCUCGAGCUUAUUUUAUGGGUUCUCUUUGCCUUUGUGCUGUCUUAGCUGUAAACAUCUGCUAUGAAAAGGCUUGGUUGCUCGUCCUCAUCUCCCACACCUGCUCUCUGUAAACAGAUGUCACUCCUUUGAAUUUCCCAUAUAAGGGUCGUUUGCGUCGUCGUUCCGAGCUGUCGACUUCUGAUUGGUCCAAUUAGGAAUUAGCUUUGGCGGAGAAGUGGUUUCAUUGACGGACGCCUCCCGUGUUAAUGGGCUCUUACUACCCUCUGACGUCAAUGGAGCAACGUGGGUGUCUACACCUGUUUUUCUAUUGUCCCCACAAAAUGGGGCGACUUGUGUCAUAACGAAGCCAACCGCUAGGAAGACUCUCAAAGCAUUCUGUUACGCGCAGAAAAUUGAAGCUAGUAAAUGCUUCAAUGCGCAGUGACUUAUAAAUAAAGUAACCAUAAAUUCAGAUUUUUCACUAUUCUUAUGUUAAGAAAAAGUUAAUUAAUUUGCGCGCUGUCAUGUUUACCUAAUGAUUGUUAUGAUUGUCCUUUAACAAAGCAUCCAUUUCCUAUGAAUUUAGUUAUUUCACAUGCUAUUAUUUACCUCGCGAAGACCAUUAAAAAACAUUUUUUUGACAUAUCCCUUAAAUAUUAAAGGGUUUCUCCUAACGGUAAUUCCUUUAAGAACUUUGUAUUAAACUCUGACGUGGUAAACAUCAGGCAAUACGUCAUCAAUUUCUAGUCCACCAUACAUCGUGUCGAGCUCAUUAAAAAUCACUAUCCUAUUAUUUUUGUAGCAUUAAUCAGUUUCUAAAAAAUGACCUAAGCUCAUUCCAGUAAUGAUCAUGAAAACGAUGUCGUUAUAUACAAACUAAAUAACUGUAUAGCGUGAUCGCAUCGAGGUAUGGCUCGAAUGUUGACAAAUGGACUCAACGCGAAAUUAAGACUUAGUGGGUGAUUCUGUAGGCCUGAUUUCAGUUUACAAGCGUUCGAAAGAAUCGAAAAGGGGCAGUAUUCGAUAAUUAGCUCCUCGUGCGUUAUACACAGUACCGCGGACAAAAUGGAAAACUUGCGGCGCCGUAACUUACGUCGUAAAUUUUCUGUGACAAUCUUGUGAUUAAAGGAUGUUUUUAUUGAGUGGUAUUUAUACGCGGCGAUCGGGUUCCAUGUUCUCCUGAUGAUUGGGAGUUCUUGCUGAAUUUGGUUUUAUCUUGAGUGAGGCCCGUUUCACAAAACUGAAACAGGCCUUGCGUAAUUACUUCAUUGUAUUGGUGUUUUAUCAUAGUGAUUGGUUUCGUGGGAAACGCAUAGAGAA
Molecule: long non-coding RNA, 2403 nt
Filed under: Pocillopora damicornis (cauliflower coral)
Lineage: Eukaryota; Metazoa; Cnidaria; Anthozoa; Scleractinia; Pocilloporidae
Description: uncharacterized LOC113665486
Source: RNAcentral